CCCAAUCCCCUCUACCUUCUAUCUCACUCUUGAGUCUCACCAAAAUGGAAAAAUCCCUAGCCCUAUCAGGGCAAACAGCCGCCGCUACUCUGUCCUCGCCGUGAAGCCCGUCUCUAUCCUCGCCGUCGCCGUGAAGACCCCAAUCCCCUCUCACUUUCUGUGCGUAGUGCGAAUGUACCCGUGCCGCCGUGGACUCUUUGCCGUCGCCUCAUCUCUCUCCAUCGGGACCCCAGAACCCCGGUGACCCCAUUCUCAACCAAUGGGUUCAAGAUGGCUGAUCCGUCACUCAGGAAAAAAUCCAAGAUCUCAUCGCAUGCCUCUGUCGGAGACGCUGCUAUACGCACGCCCUUGAGGUUUUACACUUCAAGUUCCAACGUUUACUUUUCUUUUAGGAUAUAAUGAAGCCUAUUCAAUGGCACCCUUUCAUCUAAAACACUGAAUGCAGCUAGUUUCUAAUUGGGAU
This is a non-coding RNA of Arachis ipaensis, 463 nucleotides long. NCBI's taxonomy places the organism in Eukaryota, Viridiplantae, Streptophyta, Magnoliopsida, Fabales, Fabaceae. The record is from RefSeq and is a predicted model, not a curated record.